AGCGACUGUGCAGGUUACCGCGGCUGCUGGCACGGAGUUAGCCGGUGCUUCUUCUGUGAGUGAUGUCCUUCCUGCCGGCUAUUUAACCCGCAGGCCUUCUUCCUCACUGAAAGUGCUUUACAACCCGAAGGCCUUCUUCACACACGCGGCAUGGCUGGAUCAGGGUUGCCCCCAUUGUCCAAUAUUCCCCACUGCUGCCUCCCGUAGGAGUCUGGGCCGUGUCUCAGUCCCAGUGUGGCUGAUCAUCCUCUCAGACCAGCUACGGAUCGUCGCCUUGGUGAGCCGUUACCUCACCAACCAGCUAAUCCGACAUAGGCUCAUCCGAUAGCGCGAGGCCCGAAGGUCCCCCGCUUUCCCCCGUAGGGCGUAUGCGGUAUUAGCCUGGGUUUCCCCAGGUUAUCCCCCACUACCGGGCAGAUUCCUAUGCAUUACUCACCCGUCCGCCGCUCGCCACCAGGGAGCAAGCUCCCCGUGCUGCCGCUCGACUUGCAUGUGUUAGGCCUGCCGCCAGCGUUCAAU
This 519-nucleotide ribosomal RNA is filed under the name uncultured bacterium. RNAcentral describes it as "partial 16S ribosomal RNA". The record is from RNAcentral.